UUCCUACGGGGGGCUGCAGUGGGGAAUAUUGCGCAAUGGGCGAAAGCCUGACGCAGCGACGCCGCGUGAGGGACGAAGGUCUUCGGAUUGUAAACCUCUUUCAGCAGGGACGAAGCGAAAGUGACUGUACCUGCAGAAGAAGCACCGGCUAACUACGUGCCAGCAGCCGCGGUAAUACGUAGGGUGCAAGCGUUGUCCGGAUUUAUUGGGCGUAAAGAGCUCGUAGGCGGUUUGUCGCGUCGGAUGUGAAAACCCGAUGGCUUAACCUUGGGCCUGCAUUCGAUACGGGCAAACUAGAGUGUGGUAGGGGAGACUGGAACUCCUGGUGUAGCGGUGGAAUGCGCAGAUAUCAGGAAGAACGCCGAUGGCGAAGGCAGGUCUCUGGGCCAUAACUGACGCUGAGGAGCGAAAGCGUGGGGAGCGAACAGGAUUAGAUACCCGGGUAGUCA
RNAcentral lists this ribosomal RNA (449 nucleotides) under uncultured Actinomycetales bacterium. Its description in RNAcentral is "bacterial SSU rRNA". It matches the Rfam family "Bacterial small subunit ribosomal RNA", at positions 336 to 796 of the family's 1533-position model. Lineage: Bacteria; Bacillati; Actinomycetota; Actinomycetes; Actinomycetales. The record is from RNAcentral.